CAGGCGAACGCUGGCGGCGUGCCUAAUACAUGCAAGUCGUACGCUUCUUUUUCCACCGGAGCUUGCUCCACCGGAAAAAGAGGAGUGGCGAACGGGUGAGUAACACGUGGGUAACCUGCCCAUCAGAAGGGGAUAACACUUGGAAACAGGUGCUAAUACCGUAUAACAAUCGAAACCGCAUGGUUUUGAUUUGAAAGGCGCUUUCGGGUGUCGCUGAUGGAUGGACCCGCGGUGCAUUAGCUAGUUGGUGAGGUAACGGCUCACCAAGGCCACGAUGCAUAGCCGACCUGAGAGGGUGAUCGGCCACAUUGGGACUGAGACACGGCCCAAACUCCUACGGGAGGCAGCAGUAGGGAAUCUUCGGCAAUGGACGAAAGUCUGACCGAGCAACGCCGCGUGAGUGAAGAAGGUUUUCGGAUCGUAAAACUCUGUUGUUAGAGAAGAACAAGGAUGAGAGUAACUGUUCAUCCCUUGACGGUAUCUAACCAGAAAGCCACGGCUAACUACGUGCCAGCAGCCGCGGUAAUACGUAGGUGGCAAGCGUUGUCCGGAUUUAUUGGGCGUAAAGCGAGCGCAGGCGGUUUCUUAAGUCUGAUGUGAAAGCCCCCGGCUCAACCGGGGAGGGUCAUUGGAAACUGGGAGACUUGAGUGCAGAAGAGGAGAGUGGAAUUCCAUGUGUAGCGGUGAAAUGCGUAGAUAUAUGGAGGAACACCAGUGGCGAAGGCGGCUCUCUGGUCUGUAACUGACGCUGAAGGCUCGA
This 760-nucleotide ribosomal RNA is filed under the name Enterococcus faecium. RNAcentral's name for it is "bacterial SSU rRNA". It matches the Rfam family "Bacterial small subunit ribosomal RNA", at positions 25 to 756 of the family's 1533-position model. The record is from RNAcentral. Lineage: Bacteria; Bacillati; Bacillota; Bacilli; Lactobacillales; Enterococcaceae.